ACUCAAAUAGUUUAAAAAAAAUGUAAACUUGUGGCGUUUAAGAUAUAAAGUUUUAUUUUGGGUA
RNAcentral lists this transfer RNA (64 nucleotides) under Etisus anaglyptus. RNAcentral's name for it is "tRNA-His". The record is from RNAcentral. Lineage: Eukaryota; Metazoa; Arthropoda; Malacostraca; Decapoda; Xanthidae.